GAGGGUAUAGCUCAAGUGGUAGAGCGCACGCUUGCAUGCACAAGGUCCUGGGUUCAAUCCCCAGUAGCUUCU
This 72-nucleotide transfer RNA is filed under the name Camelus bactrianus (Bactrian camel). It matches the Rfam family "tRNA". From Rfam's summary of the family: Transfer RNA (tRNA) molecules are approximately 80 nucleotides in length. The record is from Rfam by way of RNAcentral. Lineage: Eukaryota; Metazoa; Chordata; Mammalia; Artiodactyla; Camelidae. RNAcentral also lists the same sequence under 2 other names.